Molecule: long non-coding RNA, 493 nt
Filed under: Panax ginseng (ginseng)
Lineage: Eukaryota; Viridiplantae; Streptophyta; Magnoliopsida; Apiales; Araliaceae
Description: long non-coding RNA (PGIN_LNC007844)
Source: RNAcentral
AGGCCAACAAAUACCUCCGGUAUCUGUCAAGUAUAGGGCUUUCUCCUCCACCGUAUUCGGGACUGUCCUGAUGCUCAGGCUUUAAAUCUGGGCUAGCUUCACGGCGGUAAUCAUCAGGACUAACCCUCUCUGUUCGAGGGCUAGGGAUCCGACCAUGAUCAUACUCGGGAGUAAGCACAUCUCUCGGGAUGGAGCCUCGCACAGGUUCAGGGCUAGGCCUCUCUCUUCGAGGACUCAUGCUGUAUACAGGCCCCCUAAGCUGGUGAUCUGCACUAAAUUGCAAAUUAGGAUUCAUAAGAAAUUGGGGAAAAUUGCAGCAGCGAUAGAUUUGGUUGAUUAAAUAACAAACUUGCCGAUUAUAUGAAAACUUGUUGUCGAUCUAAAGUAAAUUGCGAUUAGAGAUGAUGAGAAGAGCAGAAAUCAAAGCGAAACUUUGGUUAUGUUGUGUUUCACCAACUGGGCUGCAUUUUAUUCCAAUUCGGAUAUCCAGCCC